This 72-nucleotide transfer RNA is filed under the name Pangasianodon hypophthalmus (striped catfish). It matches the Rfam family "tRNA". Rfam says of the family: Transfer RNA (tRNA) molecules are approximately 80 nucleotides in length. Their secondary structure includes four short double-helical elements and three loops (D, anti-codon, and T loops). Further hydrogen bonds mediate the characteristic L-shaped molecular structure. tRNAs have two regions of fundamental functional importance: the anti-codon, which is responsible for specific mRNA codon recognition, and the 3' end, to which the tRNAs corresponding amino acid is attached (by aminoacyl-tRNA synthetases). tRNAs cope with the degeneracy of the genetic code in two manners: having more than one tRNA (with a specific anti-codon) for a particular amino acid; and 'wobble' base-pairing, i.e. permitting non-standard base-pairing at the 3rd anti-codon position. Lineage: Eukaryota; Metazoa; Chordata; Actinopteri; Siluriformes; Pangasiidae. The record is from Rfam by way of RNAcentral.
UCCCUGGAGGACUAGUGGUUAGGCCAUGGUGCUCUCGCUGCCAUGGCCUGGGUUCGAUUCUCAGCCAGGGAA